This 515-nucleotide ribosomal RNA is filed under the name uncultured bacterium. RNAcentral describes it as "partial 16S ribosomal RNA". It matches the Rfam family "Bacterial small subunit ribosomal RNA", at positions 28 to 523 of the family's 1533-position model. The record is from RNAcentral.
GAUGAACGCUGGCGGCGUGCCUAAUACAUGCAAGUCGAGCGAAUGGAUUAAGAGCUUGCUCUUAUGAAGUUAGCGGCGGACGGGUGAGUAACACGUGGGUAACCUGCCCAUAAGACUGGGAUAACUCCGGGAAACCGGGGCUAAUACCGGAUAACAUUUUGAACCGCAUGGUUCGAAAUUGAAAGGCGGCUUCGGCUGUCACUUAUGGAUGGACCCGCGUCGCAGUAGCUAGUUGGUGAGGUAACGGCUCACCAAGGCAACGAUGCGUAGCCGACCUGAGAGGGUGUUCGGCCACGCUGGGACUGAGACACGGCCCAGAUGCCUACGGGAGGCAGCAGUAGGGAAUCGUCCGCAAUGGACGAAAGUCUGACGGAUCAACGCCGCGUGAGUGAUGAAGGCUUUCGGGUCGUAAAACUCUGUUGUUAGGGAAGAACAAGUGCUAGUUGAAUAAGCUGGCACCUUGACGGUACCUAACCAGAAAGCCACGGCUAACUACGUGCCAGCCGCCGCAGUAA